GAUGAACGCUGGCGGCGUGCCUAAUACAUGCAAGUCGAGCGAACAGAUAAGGAGCUUGCUCCUUUGACGUUAGCGGCGGACGGGUGAGUAACACGUGGGCAACCUACCUAUAAGACUGGAAUAACUCCGGGAAACCGGGGCUAAUGCCGGAUAACAUUUAGAACCGCAUGGUUCUAAAGUGAAAGAUGGUUUUGCUAUCACUUAUAGAUGGACCCGCGCCGUAUUAGCUAGUUGGUAAGGUAACGGCUUACCAAGGCAACGAUACGUAGCCGACCUGAGAGGGGGAUCGGCCACACUGGAACUGAGACACGGUCCAGACUCCUACGGGAGGCAGCAGUAGGGAAUCUUCCGCAAUGGGCGAAAGCCUGACGGAGCAACGCCGCGUGAGUGAUGAAGGUCUUCGGAUCGUAAAACUCUUUUAGUAGGGAAGAACAAAUGUGUAAGUAACUGUGCACGUCUUGACGGUACCUAAUCAGAAAGCCACGGCUAACUACGUG
This 497-nucleotide ribosomal RNA is filed under the name uncultured bacterium. Its description in RNAcentral is "partial 16S ribosomal RNA". It matches the Rfam family "Bacterial small subunit ribosomal RNA", at positions 28 to 507 of the family's 1533-position model. The record is from RNAcentral.